GGUUCAGUGGUCUAAUGGUUAUGAUUUCUGUCUCACAUUUGGAUUUGUGUGUUCACAGAAGGUUCCCGGUUCGAUCCCGGGCUGAACCA
Non-coding RNA from Vararia minispora EC-137, 89 nucleotides. The record is from the annotation of a GenBank genome assembly. Lineage: Eukaryota; Fungi; Basidiomycota; Agaricomycetes; Russulales; Lachnocladiaceae.